Molecule: ribosomal RNA, 483 nt
Filed under: uncultured bacterium
Lineage: Bacteria
Description: partial 16S ribosomal RNA
Rfam family: Bacterial small subunit ribosomal RNA
Source: RNAcentral
GACGAACGCUGGCGGCGUGCUUAACACAUGCAAGUCGAACGCUGAAGCUCAGCUUUUGUUGGGUGGAUGAGUGGCGAACGGGUGAGUAACACGUGAGUAACCUGCCCCCUUCUUUGGGAUAACGCCCGGAAACGGGUGCUAAUACUGGAUAUUCACUGGUCUUCGCAUGGGGGUUGGUGGAAAGGGUUUUUCUGGUGGGGGAUGGGCUCGCGGCCUAUCAGCUUGUUGGUGGGGUGAUGGCCUACCAAGGCUUUGACGGGUAGCCGGCCUGAGAGAGUGACCGGUCACAUUGGGACUGAGAUACGGCCCAGACUCCUACGGGAGGCAGCAGUGGGGAAUAUUGCACAAUGGGCGCAAGCCUGAUGCAGCGACGCCGCGUGAGGGAUGGAGGCCUUCGGGUUGUGAACCUCUUUCGCUCAUGGUCAAGCCGCAACAAUGGUUGUGGUGAGGGUAGUGGGUAAAGAAGCGCCGGCUAACUACGUG